This 1234-nucleotide ribosomal RNA is filed under the name uncultured Acinetobacter sp. RNAcentral's name for it is "bacterial SSU rRNA". It matches the Rfam family "Bacterial small subunit ribosomal RNA", at positions 88 to 1316 of the family's 1533-position model. Lineage: Bacteria; Pseudomonadati; Pseudomonadota; Gammaproteobacteria; Moraxellales; Moraxellaceae. The record is from RNAcentral.
UGACCUAGCGGCGGACGGGUGAGUAAUACUUAGGAAUCUGCCUAUUAAUGGGGGACAACAUCUCGAAAGGGAUGCUAAUACCGCAUACGCCCUACGGGGGAAAGCAGGGGAUCACUUGUGACCUUGCGUUAAUAGAUGAGCCUAAGUCGGAUUAGCUAGUUGGUGGGGUAAAGGCCUACCAAGGCGACGAUCUGUAGCGGGUCUGAGAGGAUGAUCCGCCACACUGGGACUGAGACACGGCCCAGACUCCUACGGGAGGCAGCAGUGGGGAAUAUUGGACAAUGGGGGGAACCCUGAUCCAGCCAUGCCGCGUGUGUGAAGAAGGCCUUAUGGUUGUAAAGCACUUUAAGCGAGGAGGAGGCUCUCUUGGUUAAUACCCAAGAUGAGUGGACGUUACUCGCAGAAUAAGCACCGGCUAACUCUGUGCCAGCAGCCGCGGUAAUACAGAGGGUGCGAGCGUUAAUCGGAUUUACUGGGCGUAAAGCGUGCGUAGGCGGCUUUUUAAGUCGGAUGUGAAAUCCCCGAGCUUAACUUGGGAAUUGCAUUCGAUACUGGGAAGCUAGAGUAUGGGAGAGGAUGGCAGAAUUCCAGGUGUAGCGGUGAAAUGCGUAGAGAUCUGGAGGAAUACCGAUGGCGAAGGCAGCCAUCUGGCCUAAUACUGACGCUGAGGUACGAAAGCAUGGGGAGCAAACAGGAUUAGAUACCCUGGUAGUCCAUGCCGUAAACGAUGUCUACUAGCCGUUGGGGCCUUUGAGGCUUUAGUGGCGCAGCUAACGCGAUAAGUAGACCGCCUGGGGAGUACGGUCGCAAGACUAAAACUCAAAUGAAUUGACGGGGGCCCGCACAAGCGGUGGAGCAUGUGGUUUAAUUCGAUGCAACGCGAAGAACCUUACCUGGUCUUGACAUAGUAAGAACUUUCCAGAGAUGGAUUGGUGCCUUCGGGAACUUACAUACAGGUGCUGCAUGGCUGUCGUCAGCUCGUGUCGUGAGAUGUUGGGUUAAGUCCCGCAACGAGCGCAACCCUUUUCCUUAUUUGCCAGCACUUCGGGUGGGAACUUUAAGGAUACUGCCAGUGACAAACUGGAGGAAGGCGGGGACGACGUCAAGUCAUCAUGGCCCUUACGACCAGGGCUACACACGUGCUACAAUGGUCGGUACAAAGGGUUGCUACCUAGCGAUAGGAUGCUAAUCUCAAAAAGCCGAUCGUAGUCCGGAUUGGAGUCUGCAACUCGAC